Non-coding RNA from Schizosaccharomyces pombe (fission yeast), 951 nucleotides. The record is from the annotation of a GenBank genome assembly. Lineage: Eukaryota; Fungi; Ascomycota; Schizosaccharomycetes; Schizosaccharomycetales; Schizosaccharomycetaceae.
GAGGGAGUUCUUCACAUUUCCCGUGUACAGGUACUUUUUUGAACUCAAACAGAGUAAACAUUUUGUUUUGAAGCUGAAUGGACUUAGUUUCAAAGCCUAAUUUUGGAAGUUCUUUAGCAAAAACUUCUCCACUCUUAUCAGAGAAUCUGCUUUUGAUUUCAGCAACCCAAAGUAAACCACCGACUUUAAGAAUACGAUAAGCUUCUUUCAAAAAAGAUUGCCAAUUGGUGCCCAUAAGACUUAAACAAAAUACAGCAAUAUCGACAGUUUCGUCAGCCAUUGGAACAUUCGCAAUAUCACAGGCUACCACAUGUUCAUUGGGAGCAACAAGGUCAAAGCUGUGCACUUGCAAAGAACGUGAUUUUCUAAAUGUAGAAGCUAUUUUAGCUUCUCCGCAACCGAGGUCAGCAAUUACAAUAUUGUUUUUCUUCUUUGCGUUUGAAUGCUCAAAUCUGAUCUUUAAAUGUUGAAUGAAAAUAUCAACAGGAUUUUCCGGCCAACCUUCAACUUGAUAUCGAAAACCAGCGUGAUAAAUAUCAAACAAAUCUGGAUUUUCCUUGAACAUUUGUACAGCUUUGUCACUUUCCGUAGUGUACAAUUGUUCAUUUAUCCAUCGAAAAUUGGCACCAUCUAGUUUAUCUUUCAUUUUUUGUUGAAGAGACGUUAACUUAGUAUGCUUAGCAUCCCCCUUGUUUUUCUCUUUAAUAGAAGGGACUGAUUUUUCUUUUUUAAUCUCGCUUUUCAGGGAAUUGUUUGUGGUAACCGACUUUGCCUUUUUUAAAACUUUUUCGUUGAGCUUUUCGCCUUUAUCUCCUACAUUCUUUCUCUCACCUUUCUUUCUUUUUUUUUCUUUUCUAGAUUCUUUCGUUUGGUCUGAUGCGCUUUUACUUACUGGACCUAAGUCCCAAUCUACUUUAAACAUGAAGUAGGGAAUAAGAUUAAAUUUGGUUG